Molecule: ribosomal RNA, 478 nt
Filed under: uncultured bacterium
Lineage: Bacteria
Description: partial 16S ribosomal RNA
Rfam family: Bacterial small subunit ribosomal RNA
Source: RNAcentral
GACGAACGCUGGCGGCGUGCUUAACACAUGCAAGUCGAACGGUAAGGCCCUUCGGGGUACACGAGUGGCGAACGGGUGAGUAACACGUGGGUGAUCUGCCCUGCACUUCGGGAUAAGCCUGGGAAACUGGGUCUAAUACCGGAUAGGACCCUGGGAUGCAUGUCCUGGGGUGGAAAGCUUUUGCGGUGUGGGAUGGGCCCGCGGCCUAUCAGCUUGUUGGGGGGGUGAUGGCCCACCAAGGCGACGACGGGUAGCCGGCCUGAGAGGGUGACCGGCCACACUGGGACUGAGAUACGGCCCAGACUCCUACGGGAGGCAGCAGUGGGGAAUAUUGCACAAUGGGCGCAAGCCUGAUGCAGCGACGCCGCGUGAGGGAUGACGGCCUUCGGGUUGUAAACCUCUUUCAGCACCGACGAAGCGCAAGUGACGGUAGGUGCAGAAGAAGGACCGGCCAACUACGUGCCAGCCGCCGCAGUAA